RNAcentral lists this ribosomal RNA (1356 nucleotides) under Actinomyces sp. Its description in RNAcentral is "bacterial SSU rRNA". It matches the Rfam family "Bacterial small subunit ribosomal RNA". Lineage: Bacteria; Bacillati; Actinomycetota; Actinomycetes; Actinomycetales; Actinomycetaceae. The record is from RNAcentral.
UUUUAUGAGAGUUUGAUCCUGGCUCAGGACGAACGCUGGCGGCGUGCCUAAUACAUGCAAGUCGAACGCUUCUUUUUCCACCGGAGCUUGCUCCACCGGAAAAAGAGGAGUGGCGAACGGGUGAGUAACACGUGGGUAACCUGCCCAUCAGAAGGGGAUAACACUUGGAAACAGGUGCUAAUACCGUAUAACAAUCGAAACCGCAUGGUUUUGAUUUGAAAGGCGCUUUCGGGUGUCGCUGAUGGAUGGACCCGCGGUGCAUUAGCUAGUUGGUGAGGUAACGGCUCACCAAGGCCAUAGCCGACCUGAGAGGGUGAUCGGCCACAUUGGGACUGAGACACGGCCCAAACUCCUACGGGAGGCAGCAGUAGGGAAUCUUCGGCAAUGGACGAAAGUCUGACCGAGCAACGCCGCGUGAGUGAAGAAGGUUUUCGGAUCGUAAAACUCUGUUGUUAGAGAAGAACAAGGAUGAGAGUAACUGUUCAUCCCUUGACGGUAUCUAACCAGAAAGCCACGGCUAACUACGUGCCAGCAGCCGCGGUAAUACGUAGGUGGCAAGCGUUGUCCGGAUUUAUUGGGCGUAAAGCGAGCGCAGGCGGUUUCUUAAGUCUGAUGUGAAAGCCCCCGGCUCAACCGGGGAGGGUCAUUGGAAACUGGGAGACUUGAGUGCAGAAGAGGAGAGUGGAAUUCCAUGUGUAGCGGUGAAAUGCGUAGAUAUAUGGAGGAACACCAGUGGCGAAGGCGGCUCUCUGGUCUGUAACUGACGCUGAGAGGUUGAAACUCAAAGGAAUUGACGGGGGCCCGCACAAGCGGUGGAGCAUGUGGUUUAAUUCGAAGCAACGCGAAGAACCUUACCAGGUCUUGACAUCCUUUGACCACUCUAGAGAUAGAGCUUCCCCUUCGGGGGCAAAGUGACAGGUGGUGCAUGGUUGUCGUCAGCUCGUGUCGUGAGAUGUUGGGUUAAGUCCCGCAACGAGCGCAACCCUUAUUGUUAGUUGCCAUCAUUUAGUUGGGCACUCUAGCAAGACUGCCGGUGACAAACCGGAGGAAGGUGGGGAUGACGUCAAAUCAUCAUGCCCCUUAUGACCUGGGCUACACACGUGCUACAAUGGGAAGUACAACGAGUCGCAAAGUCGCGAGGCUAAGCUAAUCUCUUAAAGCUUCUCUCAGUUCGGAUUGUAGGCUGCAACUCGCCUACAUGAAGCCGGAAUCGCUAGUAAUCGCGGAUCAGCACGCCGCGGUGAAUACGUUCCCGGGCCUUGUACACACCGCCCGCCGCCUAAGGUGGGAUAGAUGAUUGGGGUGAAGUCGUAACAAGGUAGCCGUAUCGGAAGGUGCGGCUGGAUCACCUCCUUU